RNAcentral lists this ribosomal RNA (253 nucleotides) under uncultured bacterium. RNAcentral describes it as "partial 16S ribosomal RNA". It matches the Rfam family "Bacterial small subunit ribosomal RNA", at positions 524 to 776 of the family's 1533-position model. The record is from RNAcentral.
UACAGAGGUGGCAAGCGUUGUUCGGAAUUACUGGGCGUAAAGGGCGCGUAGGCGGUUCGUUAAGUCCUGUGUGAAAUCCCCCGGCUCAACUGGGGAACUGCACAGGAAACUAGCGGGCUUGAGUUCGGGAGAGGGAUGCGGAAUUCCAGGUGUAGCGGUGAAAUGCGUAGAUAUCUGGAGGAACACCGGUGGCGAAGGCGGCAUCCUGGACCGAUACUGACGCUGAGGAGCGAAAGCCAGGGGAGCAAACGGG